UGAAAAGAGAAAAAAUCUAAAUAUAUAAGGGGAGUUUAAACCCCCGUCAUCUGAAAAUAAGAAUUUUAUUUCAAAAAUAUAAAAGUUUAUUAGUAUUUACUUUAAAAAAAAUCAUUAUAAUGAAAAUGUGUGUAGGGGUGUAAAACUUCCCCUCAUUUUUUUCCUCCCAAUAUUUUAGGGUUGCAGGAUGCUCUAAGAAUUUUCUAGCUCCCUGUCACUCCAAAAAAUCGAUUUGAUGAGGAGAAAAAGAGAUGUAUGGUGAUUUUUGUCCGCGGAAGAGAACAAGAACUCUACUAAGGUAUUGAUUUUACAUUAAAGAAGAGAGGAUUUAUUGGAUUCUCUCUAAGCUGGUAGAUUUGCUCUUCCGUCGACGAAUAUCCUCAAAAUCAUCACAGAAUUAGGCACAGGAAGUGGUGAUGUUCUAGUUCUAGAUGUAUUUGCAGGUCAUCUGAAAUAGAGAUUUAGUGAUUGCUAUCCAGGGUGACUUGCAGAAUGAAUGGUUAAAUUUUGGGUUCUCAUUGAAAGAUGUAUGACUCAUGAAAUGAAAGUUGUUCAGAGAGUACGUAUGUAGAGUACUGAAAAUUUUGGAGCUCGAUCUGCUGAUUUUGGUGCGAUAAAGACGGUUGAUGUCACUGACAAGGAAAACAAGUCUACAUUGUCCACAUUCUAUUGGAGAACAGUCUACACACUAAAGGGAAUUAUCAAAGUUAAGGACACACAAAAUGCUUGUGAGCUUAGAUGUGGAUUAUGUGCCAAGAUAAGUAAUAGAUAGUGAUAAGUAGAGAGUUACGAUCUCUUGUUAGUGCCUUUCAGGUGGAGGGACUCCUGAAGGACAAGAAAUAUAAAACAAUAGUUGAUGCAGAUAUUCAAGGUAAUUAGGAUUAAGAGGUUGACCAGCUUAUUCAGGUAGCUCUACUGUGCACACAAAGUAUGCCUACGGAACGUACGGUGAUGUCAGAAGUUUUAAGAAUGCUUGAAGGUAAUAGCCUCGCUGAGAGGUUGGAGGACAUUGUUGCAUAUGAAUGAUAGUGAAUCUUUUCAUCAAUAAAAUCAAUAUUAGCGAAUGACUAUUCUAAUAAUGAUUUGAAGUUUCUUGUAAUCUUAAUGGUUGAAGUGAAUAAUAUUUUUUCAAUUUAGUUUGUAAAACUAAUAGUACAUUUUAUAAUAUAUUCUUUUGUGUUGAAAUA
Solanum lycopersicum (tomato) is the source of this 1187-nucleotide long non-coding RNA. RefSeq lists it as uncharacterized. Lineage: Eukaryota; Viridiplantae; Streptophyta; Magnoliopsida; Solanales; Solanaceae. The record is from RefSeq and is a predicted model, not a curated record.